Molecule: long non-coding RNA, 260 nt
Filed under: Hordeum vulgare
Lineage: Eukaryota; Viridiplantae; Streptophyta; Magnoliopsida; Poales; Poaceae
Description: long non-coding RNA (HVUL_LNC011660)
Source: RNAcentral
UAUUAGCGUGUAUUCAAUUUUUUGGAAAACAAGUAUCCAAAAAAUAUAAAUACUGUGUAUUAAAAAUAUAUUUGUGCUAAAAAUUUUACUACAGUAUUAAGAAUAAUUAGACAUUUGUAAAAAAGAAAGCCGGUUACUGGUAAAGAAACAAAACAAAAGUAAAAAAAAAUGAAGAAAAUCAAGAAAGAAACCAAAAGAAACCAAAAGUAUAACGAAGAAAGAAAUACCAGAUAAAGUCGGCAAAAAAAGUAAUGUAUAAC